Molecule: long non-coding RNA, 1933 nt
Filed under: Haliotis rufescens (red abalone)
Lineage: Eukaryota; Metazoa; Mollusca; Gastropoda; Lepetellida; Haliotidae
Description: uncharacterized LOC124138111
Source: RNAcentral
UUGUGCCAAGGCCCAAUUAGUACUAAUUGAGUUGUUUGAAUAUUUAUAUAUUUUGUAUGUUAACUGCAUUUAUUUAAAAUCUGAGAUCGAAAAAACAGGUUUUUUUUCAUUUCCGUGAGUACUUUAAUACUUCUGCAAGAUUGAGCCAGCCAGUAGUGUCUUCCUACAUUCCAUGUCUGUUGAGACUUUUACAAUUUUGAGGCUGUUGUUAAUUUCCAGUGCUUUACAUUUCUCUGGCAGGCCAUGGUAGCUUGGAUAUAUCUUGCUGUUAUAUCUACCCCACUCUGUUGCUGUCAUGUUAACACUUUUCACACUGUGUGUGAUGAAGGCUGUGUUAGUUUGCAUAUUUAUUAACCUUUGCAUUUUUGUAAACAUUUUAUGUUGCAAGCUCCCCAUUGACCCGGAUCAACAAACUAUGUCACAUAUAUAAUUGUUGUGUCAUCCUGAGAUCACAAAUAAUUACAUUUGUUGUCAUACAGAUGACACACUUGAAGUCAGACAUGUGACUUACAUUGAUUGUCAUACAUCCGACUCACAUUGGUUUCAUAUAGGUGACUCACAUAUGAAGUUAUACAGGUGACUCACAUAUGAAGUCAUACAGGUGACUAACAUAUGAAGUCAUGCAGGUGACUCAUGUAAAGUUAUACAGGUGACUCACAUAUGAAGUCAUACAGGUGACUCACAUAUGAAGCUAUACCGGUGACUCACAUCAUCAUACAGGUGACACACAUUGACACAACCUUAAAUGUAGAAACUAGGUCUCAUUGAACAUUCCCCACCCUAAGUCUCAGUAAAUAUAAACCUCUCUCAAUGCCCAGGUCUAACAUUCCCAGCCAAGGCCUCGGUAAACAUCCAAAAUCUUCUGUCUCAGUAAGCACCCCCACUUGUAGGUCUUUGUAAACAGCCCCAACCUAUGUCUCAGAAAACAUCUCCACCUUCAUAUCUCUGCAGACAGCCCCACCCCUAGGUCUGUAGACAACCCCCUCCCUAGGUCUCUGUAAACAGCCCCACCCCUAGGUCUGUAGACAUCACCGUCCCUAGGUCUCUAUAGACAGCCCCCUCCCUAGGUCUCUGUAAACAGCCCCACCCCUAGGUCUGUAGACAUCACCGUCCCUAGGUCUCUAUAGACAGCCCCCUCCCUGUCUCUAUAGACAGCCCCCUCCCUUGGUCUCUGUAGACAACCCCCUCCCUUGGUCUCUGUAGACAACCCCCUCCCUAGAUCUCUACAGACAAACCCACCCCUAGGUCUCAAUAGACAGUCCCAUCCCUAGGUCUCUGUAGACAGCCCUAUGCCUAGGUCUCUGUAGACAACUUCCUCUCAAGGUCUCUGUAGACAGCCCCAUGCCUAGGUCUCUGUAGACAACUUCCUCUCAAGGUCUCUGUAGACAACCCCAUGCCUAGGUCUCUGUAGACAACUUCCUCCCAAGGUCUCUGUAGACUACCUUACCAAUGUGUUAGGCCAGUAGGAUGUAGCAUCUAAAACCUGUUUUAUUAUUACGCCAGGGUAUUCAUGGAAUCACUCACUCACUCUACUUUUUGUCACUAUGUCUCUGUAAGCCAGUAGGUAGGAUGUGAUGUGUGUCUACUGACUCAGCUGAUGCCUCCAGGAUGUAUAUAUACAGACAGCACAUCUGAUAUUUCUGGUUACAUCGAUUUGUCUUGUUCACAGUUCUAUAUGAAUAAUUUGUGACUGCUAAUUAUAAAACCAACCACAAGCUUAUGAUUAUUGUGAUACGUGUCUGCCUUGAGUAUCCACACAAACCUCCACAAUCUUAAACACUUACAUUUCAGAGUGUUGCUCUUUGUUUACAUGAAAGUUCUGAGGUGAAUGAAUGACUGUAGAUAUGUAAAUAAGUCUGUUAAAUCAAAAACUGUACACUUAUUAUCCAUUGUUACCAAUAUUCAAGACUCGUGGAAUAAAUUUUAUAUUACA